GGAGGAAUAUCUCAUGGCAGAGCUCUUGCCUAGCAUGCAAGAGGCUCUGGGUUCAAUUCUCAGUACCACAG
RNAcentral lists this transfer RNA (71 nucleotides) under Cavia porcellus (domestic guinea pig). It matches the Rfam family "tRNA". Rfam says of the family: Transfer RNA (tRNA) molecules are approximately 80 nucleotides in length. Their secondary structure includes four short double-helical elements and three loops (D, anti-codon, and T loops). The record is from Rfam by way of RNAcentral. Lineage: Eukaryota; Metazoa; Chordata; Mammalia; Rodentia; Caviidae.